CCUACGGGAGGCAGCAGUGGGGAAUAUUGCACAAUGAGGGAAACCCUGAUGGAGCGACGCCGCGUGCACGAAGAAGUUAUUCGUAAUGUAAAGCUCUAUCAGCAGGGAAGAACAUGACGGUACCUGAGUAAGUAGCCCCGGCUAACUCCGUGACAGCAGCCGAGGUAAUACGUCGGGGGGAAGCGUUAUCCGGGUGUUCGGGGUGUAAAGGUAGCGUAGACGGCAUUGCAAAGCUGGAGUGAAAGGCGCGGGCUCAAACCCCGGACUACUCGGGAUACUAUACAGCUGGAGUUCAGGAGAGGUAAGUGGAAUUCCUUGUGUAGCGGUGAAAUGCGUAGAUAUUAGGAGGAACACCAGGGGCGAAGGCGGCUUACUGGACUGUAACUGACGUUGAGGCUCGAAAGCGUGGGGAGCAAACAGGAUUAGAUACCCUAGUAGUC
Molecule: ribosomal RNA, 440 nt
Filed under: uncultured bacterium
Lineage: Bacteria
Description: partial 16S ribosomal RNA
Rfam family: Bacterial small subunit ribosomal RNA
Source: RNAcentral